UAGCAGCACAUCAUGGUUUACA
This 22-nucleotide non-coding RNA is filed under the name Sarcophilus harrisii (Tasmanian devil). RNAcentral also lists the same sequence under 32 other names. Lineage: Eukaryota; Metazoa; Chordata; Mammalia; Dasyuromorphia; Dasyuridae. The record is from RNAcentral.